UGGGGAAUAUUGGACAAUGGGCGAAAGCCUGAUCCAGCCAUGCCGCGUGAGUGAUGAAGGCCUUAGGGUUGUAAAGCUCUUUCGCCCGCGAAGAUAAUGACGGUAGCGGGAGAAGAAGCCCCGGCUAACUCCGUGCCAGCAGCCGCGGUAAUACGGAGGGGGCUAGCGUUGUUCGGAAUUACUGGGCGUAAAGCGUACGUAGGCGGAUGCGCAAGUUGGGGGUGAAAUCCCGGGGCUUAACCUCGGAAUUGCCCUCAAAACUGCACGUCUUGAGACCGAGAGAGGUAAGGGGAAUUCCUAGUGUAGAGGUGAAAUUCGUAGAUAUUAGGAAGAACACCAGUGGCGAAGGCGCCUUACUGGCUCGGUACUGACGCUGAGGUACGAAAGCGUGGGGAGCAAACA
This 402-nucleotide ribosomal RNA is filed under the name uncultured bacterium. RNAcentral's name for it is "bacterial SSU rRNA". It matches the Rfam family "Bacterial small subunit ribosomal RNA", at positions 355 to 774 of the family's 1533-position model. The record is from RNAcentral.